GUUUCGGGAAUGGGGGAAACCCGGACCGAGCAACGCGCCGUGAACGACGAAGUACNUCNNUAUGUNANGUUUCUAUAUAUGGGNNNNNAAAUUAAAAAUCAACGGUACCAUAUGAAUAAGCUCCGCCUAACUAUGUGCCAGCCGCCGAGGUAAUACAGAGGGGGCGAGCGGUAUCCGGAUUUACUUGGCGAAAAGGGUGCGUAGGUGGUUAUAAGAGUGUCUAGUGUAAGUGCAAUGCUUAACGCUGUGAGGCGAUGAAAACUAUAUGACUAGAGUGAGACAGCGGCAAGUGGAAUUCCAUGUGUAGCGGUAAACUGCGUAAAUAUAUGGAAGAACACCAGUGGCGAGGGCGGCUUGCUGGGUCUAUACUGACACUGAUGAACGAAAGCGUGGGGAGCAAACAGG
Molecule: ribosomal RNA, 405 nt
Filed under: uncultured bacterium
Lineage: Bacteria
Description: partial 16S ribosomal RNA
Rfam family: Bacterial small subunit ribosomal RNA
Source: RNAcentral